AAUGAACGCUGGCGGCGUGCUUAACACAUGCAAGUCGAACGAGAAGUGAAGACGGAAACCUUCGGGCGGAAGGCUUUAUUUCGAGUGGCGGACGGGUGAGUAACGCGUGGGUAACCUGCCUCAUACAGGGGGAUAACAGUUGGAAACGACUGUUAAUACCGCAUAAGACCACAGCACCGCAUGGUGCGGGGGUAAAAACUCCGGUGGCAUGAGAUGGACCCGCGUUCGAUUAGCCAGUUGGCGGGGUAACGGCCCACCAAAGCGACGAUCGAUAGCCGAUCUGAGAGGAUGACCGGCCACAUUGGGACUGAGACACGGCCCAAACUCCUACGGGAGGCAGCAGUGGGGAAUAUUGCACAAUGGGGGAAACCCUGAUGCAGCGACGCCGCGUGAGUGAAGAAGUAUUUCGGUAUGUAAAGCUCUAUCAGCAGGGAAGAAAAUGACGGUACCUGAGUAAGAAGCCCCGGCUAACUACGUG
This 478-nucleotide ribosomal RNA is filed under the name uncultured bacterium. RNAcentral's name for it is "partial 16S ribosomal RNA". It matches the Rfam family "Bacterial small subunit ribosomal RNA", at positions 29 to 507 of the family's 1533-position model. The record is from RNAcentral.